RNAcentral lists this ribosomal RNA (571 nucleotides) under uncultured bacterium. Its description in RNAcentral is "partial 16S ribosomal RNA". It matches the Rfam family "Bacterial small subunit ribosomal RNA", at positions 355 to 919 of the family's 1533-position model. The record is from RNAcentral.
UGGGGAAUUUUGGACAAUGGACGAAGCCUGAUCCAGCAAUGCCGCGUGUGUGAAGAAGGCCUUCGGGUUGUAAAGCACUUUUGUCCGGAAAGAAAUCCUUGGCUCUAAUACAGUCGGGGGAUGACGGUACCGGAAGAAUAAGCACCGGCUAACUACGUGCCAGCAGCCGCGGUAAUACGUAGGGUGCAAGCGUUAAUCGGAAUUACUGGGCGUAAAGCGUGCGCAGGCGGUUUGCUAAGACCGAUGUGAAAUCCCGGGGCUCAACCUGGGAACUGCAUUGGUGACUGGCAGGCUAGAGUAUGGCAGAGGGGGGUAGAAUUCCACGUGUAGCAGUGAAAUGCGUAGAGAUGUGGAGGAAUACCGAUGGCGAAGGCAGCCCCCUGGGCCAAUACUGACGCUCAUGCACGAAAGGCGUGGGGGAGCAAACAGGAUUAGAUACCCUGGUAGUCCACGCCCUAAACGAUGUCAACUAGUUGUUGGGGAUUCAUUUCCUUAGUAACGUAGCUAACGCGUGAAGUUGACCGCCUGGGGAGUACGGUCGCAAGAUUAAAACUUAAAGAAUUGACGGGGU